CGAACGCUGGCGGCAUGGAUUAGGCAUGCAAGUCGAACGGGAGCAGCAAUGCUCCAGUGGCGCAAGGGUGAGGAACACGUGAACAACCUGCCUUCGAGUUGGGGAUAGCUUCUGGAAACGGGAGAUAAUACCGAAUAACAUCAUUUGGUCGCAUGACUGGAUGAUCAAAGCAGCAAUGCGCUUGAAGAGGGGUUCGCGUCCCAUUAGCUAGUUGGUGAGGUAACGGCCCACCAAGGCGAUGAUGGGUAGCUGGUCUGAGAGGACGACCAGCCACAUUGGGACUGAGAUACUGCCCAGACUCCUACGGGAGGCUGCAGUCGAGAAUUUUGCGCAAUGGGCGAAAGCCUGACGCAGCGACGCCGCGUGAGGGAUGAAGGUCUUUCCGGAUCGUAAACCUCUGUCGGAAGGGAAAAAUGUGCAGGGUGCCAAUCAGCCCUGCAUUGAUGGUACCUUCAGAGGAAGCACCGGCUAACUCCGUGCCAGCCGCUGC
Molecule: ribosomal RNA, 490 nt
Filed under: uncultured bacterium
Lineage: Bacteria
Description: bacterial SSU rRNA
Rfam family: Bacterial small subunit ribosomal RNA
Source: RNAcentral